Molecule: ribosomal RNA, 442 nt
Filed under: uncultured bacterium
Lineage: Bacteria
Description: partial 16S ribosomal RNA
Rfam family: Bacterial small subunit ribosomal RNA
Source: RNAcentral
CUACGGGUUGCUGCAGUGGGGAAUUUUGCGCAAUGGGCGAAAGCCUGACGCAGCAACGCCGCGUGAGCGAUGAAGGUUUUCGGAUCGUAAAGCUCUGUCAGAUGGGAAGAAGAACAUGACGGUACCAUCAGAGGAAGCCCCGGCUAACUCCGUGCCAGCAGCCGCGGUAAUACGGAGGGGGGGAGCGUUGUUCGGAAUUAUUGGGCGUAAAGCGUAUGUAGGUGGUUUGACAAGUCAGACGUGUAAGCCCACGGCUCAACCGUGGAAUUGCGUUUGAAACUAUCUAACUUGAGUGCAGAAGAGGAAAGCGGAAUUUCCAGUGUAGCGGUGAAAUGCGUUGAUAUUGGGAAGAACACCUGUGGCGAAGGCGGCUUUCUGGUCUGCUACUGACACUGAGAUACGAAAGCCAGGGGAGCAAACGGGAUUAGAUACCCGAGUAGUC